Molecule: small RNA, 137 nt
Filed under: Klebsiella pneumoniae
Lineage: Bacteria; Pseudomonadati; Pseudomonadota; Gammaproteobacteria; Enterobacterales; Enterobacteriaceae
Description: RtT sRNA
Rfam family: RtT RNA
About the family: This family represents a bacterial cis-regulatory element known as RtT RNA.
Source: RNAcentral
UUAUAUUCUCCACAGGGGGGGAUGAGAACCCCCGACCGGGGUUCGACAACUGGCGCAGCCAGUUGGACAGACCGCGAGCCUGCGAGCGGGCUGCCCCGCAGGGCGAGCGAAGCGAGUCAAUCCCCCCCUCACCGCCA